Molecule: ribosomal RNA, 93 nt
Filed under: Caerostris darwini
Lineage: Eukaryota; Metazoa; Arthropoda; Arachnida; Araneae; Araneidae
Source: RNAcentral
AACGGCCAUACCAUGCUGAAUAUACCGGUUCUCGUUAGAUCACCGAAGUCAAGCAUCAUGGGGCGCGGUCAGUACUUGGGUGGUGAAACACCU